Molecule: non-coding RNA, 30 nt
Filed under: Mus musculus (house mouse)
Lineage: Eukaryota; Metazoa; Chordata; Mammalia; Rodentia; Muridae
Source: RNAcentral
UGAAAUGGACAUGUGAAACCUAACCAAAAC